ACUUAGUUGGUAGAGCACAAGGCUCUUAACCUUAUGGACGUGGGUUCGAGCCCCAU
This 56-nucleotide transfer RNA is filed under the name Triticum aestivum (bread wheat). It matches the Rfam family "tRNA", at positions 10 to 63 of the family's 71-position model. From Rfam's summary of the family: Transfer RNA (tRNA) molecules are approximately 80 nucleotides in length. Their secondary structure includes four short double-helical elements and three loops (D, anti-codon, and T loops). RNAcentral also lists the same sequence under 1 other name. Lineage: Eukaryota; Viridiplantae; Streptophyta; Magnoliopsida; Poales; Poaceae. The record is from Rfam by way of RNAcentral.